UGUUCGGCUUAUUUCCUCACCAGGUGGCAGCACUGCCUUCUUUGGACACAGAAACUGUGGCGGCGAAUGCGCCACUGUGUUUUGCACUGUGUGGAGUCCGUGCGGUGUCGGUCCAUGGGACUGAAUUUCGGUGAAUUUGAUCGCAAUUGAGUUGAAUUUUGCUCAGAUGGGUUGUGAAUUUAUAUUCAGCAAGUGUCACAAGCAUGGAAAGGCAAGUUUUGAGAGGACAGAAGACUUAGAAAGGCUUCAAUUGACGUAGCCGAAGAGAGGCGAGAAGCCGAAGAUAGAACGACUCCAAACGGUGCCCAGUGCAAUCAUGCUUCUGGUGUGGAGUUGUCAGGAUGGAGUCCGAGGAAUCAAUGAAGGCAGAGGACCUGCAUAUGAAGGAACCAGCCCUGCGGAUGAAGUUCUGAGGUGCAUACAGAGGGAUCCCACUGAAAGACCAGGUGCAAUGCUGCAUUGAUAAGAUCCAGAUUCAAGAGCAUGGAUGCUACCAGACCCUGUGAUUUGAAGUUACCAGUGUCACUGCUGCUACAUGACAUCAGCAACACUUCCUUUGGUGAAAGUUUAGAGGAGCAAACAGUUGGUGCUCUGUGUAGUCAAGCAGUGGAGUUUUGCCACAAUCAUGAAGUUGAUUAAGGUGUCAAUUUUUGCUCUGGCUUCUGGGACACCUUGGAUCUACAUUGCAACCUAUGCUAGUGUUCAACAUUUCGUGUCAUAGUAUCACUGGUGCAAAGCGUGUUGCAUCAUACACAAAUGAGAGCCAGCAAAUUGUCAGAUAUUUUCCAGUGAUAGAGAACUGCAUGCCUUAAGCAAUUGUUGAAGGUGAUAAGUGGUGAAUGGUAGGGCUCAGUCACUCAGCUCCUUCCUUCAAAAGCUAUCAAUCAGCUCUAGAAGAGUAGUCAUAGCAAUGCUUCAUAUGUGAAGGCUGCUUGCCUGAACAGAACAUUGUGGAUUUGUUAAUUAAGUACCUCUUUAUUACAAGUUUGUGCCCAUUACAAGCCAACCUUAGUUUACUUAGUUUGUUGCAAGUUUUCCAGGCAGCCUACACACUUGUGUCGCUGAAUAUUAAACUUUAACUGAUAGACCGACGAGAUAUUGUCCCUUUCGCAUCAGAUUGUAAUCAGUCAGUCGUGUUGGUAGAAGGUACAGUCUGUCUUAAAAGUACCGCGUAAAGUGACGGUGGAUCCAUCAAGCCUGACCGAGGAAGGGCCUGCUAUAAUUUGAAAGUCACCGAACCAAUUGACCUGGGGAACAGACGAGGAUGUCAUAUAGAGCCACGCAGAAAUCGCCGGUGAUUCGUUGCCCAUCAUUACAGAAUGAACGCAUGCCGGAUGAAGUUAAGUCAAUAGUCUGUACAAACUACAGGCAUGUGAUUGACUUAUCUGACGGUGACGAGCGCUAGAGGUCAACUUAAGACCGUAGGUAUGCGUUCUUGUCAUGGAAUGUGUGCUGUAAAUCGGUUGUUUCAUGCGUGUGAAUAUAUGUCUGAAUGUAAUAAGGUUUUUAAUUUCAACUGUGUAAGUUAAAAUA
RNAcentral lists this long non-coding RNA (1533 nucleotides) under Amphibalanus amphitrite. Its description in RNAcentral is "uncharacterized LOC122392778". Lineage: Eukaryota; Metazoa; Arthropoda; Thecostraca; Balanomorpha; Balanidae. The record is from RNAcentral.